This 497-nucleotide ribosomal RNA is filed under the name uncultured bacterium. RNAcentral describes it as "partial 16S ribosomal RNA". It matches the Rfam family "Bacterial small subunit ribosomal RNA", at positions 28 to 507 of the family's 1533-position model. The record is from RNAcentral.
GAUGAACGCUGGCGGCGUGCCUAAUACAUGCCAGUCGAGCGAACAGAUGAGGAGCUUGCUCCUCUGACGUUAGCGGCGGACGGGUGAGUAACACGUGGAUAGCCUACCUAUAAGACUGGGAUAACUUCGGGAAACCGGAGCUAAUACCGGAUAAUAUAUUGAACCGCAUGGUUCAAUAGUGAAAGACGGUUUUGCUGUCACUUAUAGAUGGAUCCGCGCCGCAUUAGCUAGUUGGUAAGGUAACGGCUUACCAAGGCAACGAUGCGUAGCCGACCUGAGAGGGUGAUCGGCCACACUGGAAGUGAGACACGGUCCAGACUACUACGGGAGGCAGCAGUAGGGAAUAUUCCGCAAUGGGCGAAAGCCUGACGGAGCAAAGCCGCGUGAGUGAUGAAGGUCUUCGGAUCGUAAAACUCUGUUAUUAGGGAAGAACAAAUGUGUAAGUAACUAUGCACGUCUUGACGGUACCUAAUCAGAAAGCCACGGCUAACUACGUG